ACGCUCGACACCUACGGAGGCAGCAGUAGGGAAUCUUCCACAAUGGACGCAAGUCUGAUGGAGCAACGCCGCGUGAGUGAAGAAGGUUUUCGGAUCGUAAAGCUCUGUUGUUGGUGAAGAAGGAUAGAGGUAGUAACUGGCCUUUAUUUGACGGUAAUCAACCAGAAAGUCACGGCUAACUACGUACNCNNNCGCGUAGUAUGAGCGGCGUGNGAGAG
RNAcentral lists this ribosomal RNA (218 nucleotides) under uncultured bacterium. RNAcentral's name for it is "partial 16S ribosomal RNA". It matches the Rfam family "Bacterial small subunit ribosomal RNA", at positions 328 to 544 of the family's 1533-position model. The record is from RNAcentral.